RNAcentral lists this ribosomal RNA (427 nucleotides) under uncultured ammonia-oxidizing beta proteobacterium. RNAcentral's name for it is "bacterial SSU rRNA". It matches the Rfam family "Bacterial small subunit ribosomal RNA", at positions 179 to 597 of the family's 1533-position model. The record is from RNAcentral. Lineage: Bacteria; Pseudomonadati; Pseudomonadota; Betaproteobacteria.
CGCGUUUUUGGAGGAAAGCAGGGGAUCGCAAGACCUUGCGCUUUUGGAGCGGCCGAUGUCUGAUUAGCUAGUUGGUAGGGUAAAGGCUUACCAAGGCAACGAUCAGUAGUUGGUCUGAGAGGACGACCAGCCACACUGGGACUGAGACACGGCCCAGACUCCUACGGGAGGCAGCAGUGGGGAAUUUUGGACAAUGGGCGAAAGCCUGAUCCAGCCAUGCCGCGUGAGUGAAGAAGGCCUUCGGGUUGUAAAGCUCUUUCAGUCGAGAAGAAAAAAUUGCGACUAAUAAUCGCAAUUCAUGACGGUAUCGACAGAAGAAGCACCGGCUAACUACGUGCCAGCAGCCGCGGUAAUACGUAGGGUGCAAGCGUUAAUCGGAAUUACUGGGCGUAAAGGGUGCGCAGGCGGCCUUGUAAGUCAGAUGUGA